This 379-nucleotide ribosomal RNA is filed under the name Saemundssonia stresemanni. RNAcentral's name for it is "partial 12S ribosomal RNA". The record is from RNAcentral. Lineage: Eukaryota; Metazoa; Arthropoda; Insecta; Psocodea; Philopteridae.
ACUAGGAUUAGAUACCCUAUUAUAAGACGAUGGAAAGAACACAUUCAGAGUACACUAGGGAAAAGGAUUCUACUGGCGGUCUUCAACCCAUCUAGAGACUUGUGCCUGUAAACGAAGCUGCGCGACCAAUCGUCCCUUGUCUUGAAUAAUUCACUCUACCCACCUCUGUCUGAAGAGGUCUAUGUUUUAAAUGGGCACUCUCUUCCUGUCAUAAGGCGACAAGGCAAGUAACCGUGUAGGUUAUGACAGGGAAAGAGUGCAAGUCAAUUUUUUUAAUUUAUGGAGGUUUGAAAUCCCUCUAUUAGAGAGAAUUUAGUAGUAAGAUAGGUUUAUCAUACUUAUCUGAAUAGCGCUCUUGAGACGUACACAUCGCCCGUCG